Nannospalax galili (Upper Galilee mountains blind mole rat) is the source of this 372-nucleotide long non-coding RNA. RefSeq lists it as uncharacterized. The transcript has 3 exons. NCBI's taxonomy places the organism in Eukaryota, Metazoa, Chordata, Mammalia, Rodentia, Spalacidae. The record is from RefSeq and is a predicted model, not a curated record.
GAGUGGAAUAUUCUGCAGAUGUCUCUAAGGUGGUACCUAUCCUUGGAGGUAUGAUGAAUUUCUUGUAGUCACAUACUAAGCCCUAAGGACUGCCGAGGGACACUUGAGACAAGCUGAGCAGCCUAGAAGAGGCCCAGGCAUGCCAAGCCCCCCGAAAGACGCAGAGACCAGCCAAGCUGGCAUGAAAAAGCAGAAACCAGCUGAGCCUCCUGGAAGGGCUCAGAUCAACUGGGUCUCCUAGAAAAGAUACUCUCCAGCCUGUUGAGCGGCCUGCACAUUGUGUAGUGCACUCCAGAUUUCCAGCUUUUGUGAACUGUCACACGCGCUGUCAUGGACUCAGCUGUUUUGAGUAAUUUCUGCUUCUGUUAAGUA